GGAAGUAAAAGUCGUAUCAAGGUCUCCGUUGGUGAACCAGCGGAGGGAUCAUUACCGAGUGCAAACUCAUAACCCUUUGUGAACCUAUAUCUGUUGCUUCGGCGGCUCGCUCUCGGGCGAGCCCGCCGGUAAUAUCAGUAUCUCUGUUUGAACCCGACGAUACUUCUGAGUGUUCUUAGCGAACAGUUAAAACUUUUAACAACGGAUCUCUUGGCUCUA
RNAcentral lists this unclassified non-coding RNA (219 nucleotides) under plant metagenome. RNAcentral describes it as "partial contains small subunit ribosomal RNA, internal transcribed spacer 1, and 5.8S ribosomal RNA". The stretch from base 1 to 54 matches the Rfam family "Eukaryotic small subunit ribosomal RNA", at positions 1778 to 1831 of the family's 1831-position model. The record is from RNAcentral.